GGCUUCAAACCUAGAUCCCCAGUGCUCACUUGGAACUAUAUGAAGAUUAUUAGCAUGGCCCCUGCAUAAGGAUCACAUGCAAAUUCCAUGAAUGUCAUGUCCGUGCAGCAUUCCAUACUUUU
This 122-nucleotide small nuclear RNA is filed under the name Dipodomys ordii (Ord's kangaroo rat). Lineage: Eukaryota; Metazoa; Chordata; Mammalia; Rodentia; Heteromyidae. The record is from RNAcentral.